GAUGAACGCUGGCGGCGUGCCUAAUACAUGCAAGUCGAGCGAACAGACGAGGAGCUUGCUCCUCUGACGUUAGCGGCGGACGGGUGAGUAACACGUGGAUAACCUACUUAUAAGACUGGGAUAACUUCGGGAAACCGGAGCUAAUACCGGAUAAUAUAUUGAACGGCAUGGUUCAAUAGUGAAAGACGGUUUUGCUGUCACUUAUAGAUGGAUCCGCGCCGCAUUAGCUAGUUGGUAAGGUAACGGCUUACCAAGGCAACGAUGCGUAGCCGACCUGAGAGGGUGAUCGGCCACACUGGAACUGAGACACGGUCCAGACUCCUACGGGAGGCAGCAGUAGGGAAUCUUCCGCAAUGGGCGAAAGCCUGACGGAGCAACGCCGCGUGAGUGAUGAAGGUCUUCGGAUCGUAAAACUCUGUUAUUAGGGAAGAACAAAUGUGUAAGUAACUAUGCACGUCUUGACGGUACCUAAUCAGAAAGCCACGGCUAACUACGUG
Molecule: ribosomal RNA, 497 nt
Filed under: uncultured bacterium
Lineage: Bacteria
Description: partial 16S ribosomal RNA
Rfam family: Bacterial small subunit ribosomal RNA
Source: RNAcentral